ACGGAGAGAAGCUCAGCAAGGCAGCCAUUCUCCAGCAGACAGCCGAGUACAUCUUCUCCCUGGAGCAGGAGAAGACCAGGCUCUUGCAGCAGAACACACAGCUCAAGCGCUUCAUCCAGGAGCUGAGCGGCUCGUCCCCCAAGCGACGGCGGGCAGAGGACAAGGACGAAGGCAUAGGCUCCCCGGACAUCUGGGAGGACGAGAAGGCGGAGGACCUGCGGCGGGAGAUGAUUGAGCUGCGGCAGCAGCUGGACAAGGAGCGCUCGGUGCGCAUGAUGCUGGAGGAGCAGGUGCGCUCGCUGGAGGCCCACAUGUACCCGGAAAAGCUCAAGGUGAUUGCGCAGCAGGUGCAGCUGCAGCAGCAGCAGGAACAGGUGAGGCUGCUGCACCAGGAGAAGCUGGAGCGGGAACAGCAGCAGCUGCGGACCCAGCUUCUGCCCCCUCCGGCCCCCACCCACCACCCCACGGUGAUCGUGCCAGCACCGCCUCCUCCUCCCUCCCACCACAUCAAUGUCGUCACCAUGGGCCCCUCCUCGGUCAUCAACUCUGUUUCCACAUCCCGGCAAAAUCUGGACACCAUCGUGCAGGCAAUCCAGCACAUCGAGGGCACCCAGGAAAAGCAGGAGCUGGAGGAGGAGCAGCGGCGAGCUGUCAUCGUGAAGCCUGUCCGCAGCUGCCCGGAGGCCCCCACCUCUGACACCGCCUCCGACUCCGAGGCCUCAGACAGUGACGCCAUGGACCAGAGCCGGGAGGAGCCGUCGGGGGACGGGGAGCUUCCCUGACUACCCCCCCAGCCCUCCUCUCCCUUCUGGGGGCUGGAGGGAGCCGGGGCAGCCACAGGGAGAGACAUGGGCGAAUGAGUGAGAAAUUUUUACAAAAUUACGAUGUCAUUUGGGUCUCUUUUAUGACCUCUUUUUCAAUACUGUAAAUCGACCUUUGAACGAAGCCACUCAACCCGAGGUCCCGGGGCUGGGGUGUCGCAGAGCGUGUGGGAGCAUCGGCACCCCAGGGCGGGGCCUCGGCCCCGGGGGCUGGAGGAAGCUGACACGGAGAUGCCUGGCCUCUCUCUGCCAAAAAGCAUUUUUUCCUUUAAAUAUGUUUUUUAAGAACAGGGAAAAUUAAACAAAACCCCAGGUUAUUUCUUCCCUGCCCAGAGCCAGCCUGGGAUUGUCAGCCUUCAAUCCCCUUUCCUUCCUCUUUUUGGGUUUUCUUCUUUCUCCUUUAAGCACUUACAUGGUUGGGGGUAAGACUAGGCUGGGGCAUUCUGGGGGCCCGGAGGUCUCCGUUGCUUCUUGGUUGGGGUUUGCUGCUGCUGUGCCCCCCUCCCCCUUCCCCAUCUCGGCACUAGAAUUCGCCACUCUCCCACCCCCCAGCCCCCACCUCUGCCUCCAGGUCUCAUCUUCCACCCCAAAAAUGUCUGUCUCUCUCUUUUUGUUUUGUUUGUUGUUGGUUUUUUAUUUCUUUUUGGUUUGCUUUCUGUUUUUGUUUUGUUUUUCUUUUUUUUCUUUCUUUUUUUUUUUUUUUUACAAUUUUGAGGUCUUCGUGUUCAAGGAGAAGCUAUUAUAUUUUGUUAAGAAAGUGGGGAGAAAAAAACCAAGAGGCCACCGUGCCUUUGUAAAGAAACAAAAUAAAGUUUGUACUUUGUUUU
This 1648-nucleotide long non-coding RNA is filed under the name Homo sapiens (human). Its description in RNAcentral is "long non-coding RNA NONHSAT173553.1". The record is from RNAcentral. Lineage: Eukaryota; Metazoa; Chordata; Mammalia; Primates; Hominidae.